This 451-nucleotide ribosomal RNA is filed under the name uncultured bacterium. RNAcentral's name for it is "partial 16S ribosomal RNA". It matches the Rfam family "Bacterial small subunit ribosomal RNA", at positions 29 to 523 of the family's 1533-position model. The record is from RNAcentral.
AGCGAACGCUGGCGGCAGGCUUAACACAUGCAAGUCGAGCGGGCGUAGCAAUACGUCAGCGGCAGACGGGUGAGUAACGCGUGGGAACGUACCUUUUGGUUCGGAACAACACAGGGAAACUUGUGCUAAUACCGGAUAAGCCCUUACGGGGAAAGAUUUAUCGCCGAAAGAUCGGCCCGCGUCUGAUUAGCUAGUUGGUAGGGUAAUGGCCAACCAAGGCGACGAUCAGUAGCUGGUCUGAGAGGAUGAUCAGCCACAUUGGGACUGAGACACGGCCCAAACUCCUACGGGAGGCAGCAGUGGGGAAUAUCGGACAAUGGGGGCAACCCUGAUCCAGCCAUGCCGCGUGAGUGAUGAAGGCCCUAGGGUUAUAAAGCUCUUUUGUGCGGGAAGAUAAUGACGGUACCGCAAGAAUAAGCCCCGGCUAACUUCGUGCCAGCCGCCGCGGUAA